Molecule: ribosomal RNA, 545 nt
Filed under: uncultured bacterium
Lineage: Bacteria
Description: bacterial SSU rRNA
Rfam family: Bacterial small subunit ribosomal RNA
Source: RNAcentral
ACGUAAUAGAUACCCCGGUAGUCCACGCCCUAAACGAUGUCUACUAGUUGUUGGUGGAGUAAAAUCCAUGAGUAAACGCAGCUAAACGCGUGAAGUAGACCGCCUGGGGAGUACGGUCGCAAGAUUAAAACUCAAAUGAAUUGACGGGGGCCCGCACAAGCGGUGGAUUAUGUGGAUUAAAUUCGAUGCAACGCGAAAAACCUUACCUGGCCUUGACAUGUAACGAACUUUCCAGAGAUGGAUUGGUGCUCGAAAGAGAACGUUAACACAGGUGCUGCAUGGCUGUCGUCAGCUCGUGUCGUGAGAUGUUGGGUUAAGUCCCGCAACGAGCGCAACCCUUGCCAUUAAUUGCCAUCAUUUAGUUGGGCACUUUAAUGGGACUGCCGGUGACAAACCGGAGGAAGGUGGGGAUGACGUCAAGUCCUCAUGGCCCUUAUGGCCAGGGCUUCACACGUAAUACAAUGGUCGGUACAGAGAGUUGCCAACCCGCGAGGGGUAGCCAAUCUCAGAAAGCCGAUCGUAGUCCGGAUUGUAGUCUGCAACUC